This 490-nucleotide ribosomal RNA is filed under the name uncultured bacterium. Its description in RNAcentral is "partial 16S ribosomal RNA". It matches the Rfam family "Bacterial small subunit ribosomal RNA", at positions 30 to 507 of the family's 1533-position model. The record is from RNAcentral.
AUUGAACGCUGGCGGCAGGCCUAACACAUGCAAGUCGAACGGUAACAGGAAGCAGCUUGCUGCUUCGCUUACGCGUGGCGGACGGGUGAGUAAUGUCUGUGAAGCUGCCUGAUGGAGGGGGAUAACUACUGGAAACGGUACCUAAUACCGCAUAAUGUCGCAAGACCAAAGAGGGGGACCUUCGGGCCUCUUGCCAUCGGCUGUGCCCAGAUGGGAUUAGCUUGUUGGUGGGGUAACGGCUUACCAAGGCGACGAUCCCUAGCUGGUCUGAGAGGAUGACCAGCCACACUGGAACUGAGACACGGUCCAGACUCCUACGGGAGGCAGCAGUGGGGAAUAUUGCGCAAUGGGCGAAAGCCUGAUGCAGCAAUGCCGCGUGUAUGAAGAAGGCCUUCGGGUUGUAAAGCACUUUUAGCGGGGAGGAAGAGAGUAAAGUUUAUACCUUUGCACAUUGACGGUACCCGAAGAAGAAGCACCGGCUAACUACGUG